RNAcentral lists this ribosomal RNA (484 nucleotides) under Bifurcaria brassiciformis. RNAcentral describes it as "SSU rRNA". It matches the Rfam family "Eukaryotic small subunit ribosomal RNA", at positions 1306 to 1802 of the family's 1831-position model. Lineage: Eukaryota; Phaeophyceae; Fucales; Sargassaceae. The record is from RNAcentral.
GUGAUUUGUCUGGUUAAUUCCGUUAACGAACGAGACCCCCGCCUGCUAAAUAGCGUGGCUUACGCAUUCGCGUAGGUGGGCGCUUCUUAGAGGGACUUUCGGUGACUAACCGAAGGAAGUUGGGGGCAAUAACAGGUCUGUGAUGCCCUUAGAUGUCCUGGGCCGCACGCGCGCUACACUGAUGCAUGCAACGAGUUCCUUUUUUCCCUGGGUCGAGAGGCUUGGGUAAUCUUUGGAACGUGCAUCGUGAUAGGGAUAGAUCAUUGCAACUAUUGAUCUUGAACGAGGAAUUCCUAGUAAACGCGAGUCAUCAGCUCGCAUUGAUUACGUCCCUGCCCUUUGUACACACCGCCCGUCGCACCUACCGAUUGAAUGUUUCGGUGAAGAUUCCGGACCGCGACGCCAGAGUGCUUCACGGCGCUCUGGUCGUGGGAAGUUGUCUAAACCUCAACAUUUAGAGGAAGGUGAAGUCGUAACAAGGUUU